AAAGGAUAAGCUCUGGAUAGCCUGUCUGACGGCAGUCCAGUGACGAAAACCAAAGCCAGACUAAGCGUGUAGAAAGCUCUCUGGUGCGGUGUUUGGACGGCGGUUCGAGUCCGCCCAUCUCCACGA
RNAcentral lists this transfer-messenger RNA (126 nucleotides) under Bacteroidales bacterium. RNAcentral's name for it is "partial transfer-messenger RNA". It matches the Rfam family "transfer-messenger RNA", at positions 236 to 374 of the family's 374-position model. From Rfam's summary of the family: Bacterial tmRNA, also known as 10Sa RNA or SsrA, is named for its dual tRNA and mRNA-like properties. The record is from RNAcentral. Lineage: Bacteria; Pseudomonadati; Bacteroidota; Bacteroidia; Bacteroidales.